RNAcentral lists this ribosomal RNA (510 nucleotides) under uncultured bacterium. Its description in RNAcentral is "partial 16S ribosomal RNA". It matches the Rfam family "Bacterial small subunit ribosomal RNA", at positions 28 to 507 of the family's 1533-position model. The record is from RNAcentral.
GACGAACGCUGGCGGCGUGCUUAACACAUGCAAGUCGAACGAAGAGCGAUGGAAGCUUGCUUCUAUCAAUCUUAGUGGCGAACGGGUGAGUAACGCGUAAUCAACCUGCCCUUCAGAGGGGGACAACAGUUGGAAACGACUGCUAAUACCGCAUACGAUCUAACCUCGGUAUCGAGGAUAGAUGAAAGGUGGCCUCUACAUGUAAGCUAUCACUGAAGGAGGGGAUUGCGUCUGAUUAGCUAGUUGGAGGGGUAACGGCCCACCAAGGCGAUGAUCAGUAGCCGGUCUGAGAGGAUGAACGGCCACAUUGGGACUGAGACACGGCCCAGACUCCUACGGGAGGCAGCAGUGGGGAAUCUUCCGCAAUGGACGAAAGUCUGACGGAGCAACGCCGCGUGAGUGAUGACGGCCUUCGGGUUGUAAAGCUCUGUUAAUCGGGACGAAAGGCCUUCUUGCGAAUAGUGAGAAGGAUUGACGGUACCGGAAUAGAAAGCCACGGCUAACUACGUG